UACGGAGGGUGCAAGCGUUAUCCGGAUUCACUGGGUUUAAAGGGAGCGUAGGUGGGUUGGUAAGUCCGUGGUGAAAUCUCCGAGCUUAACUUGGAAACUGCCAUGGAUACUAUCAGUCUUGAAUAUUGUGGAGGUCAGCGGAAUAUGUCAUGUAGCGGUGAAAUGCUUAGAUAUGACAUAGAACACCAAUUGCGAAGGCAGCUGGCUACGCAUAUAUUGACACUGAGGCCCGAAAGCGUGGGGAUCAAACAGG
This 253-nucleotide ribosomal RNA is filed under the name uncultured bacterium. RNAcentral describes it as "partial 16S ribosomal RNA". It matches the Rfam family "Bacterial small subunit ribosomal RNA", at positions 524 to 776 of the family's 1533-position model. The record is from RNAcentral.